CAAUUGGUUUUUUUUAAAACCACCCAUGGACUGUGUCAAGGACCC
Molecule: non-coding RNA, 45 nt
Organism: Amborella trichopoda
Lineage: Eukaryota; Viridiplantae; Streptophyta; Magnoliopsida; Amborellales; Amborellaceae
Source: Rfam